This 425-nucleotide ribosomal RNA is filed under the name uncultured bacterium. RNAcentral's name for it is "partial 16S ribosomal RNA". It matches the Rfam family "Bacterial small subunit ribosomal RNA", at positions 354 to 796 of the family's 1533-position model. The record is from RNAcentral.
GUGGGGAAUAUUGCGCAAUGGGCGAAAGCCUGACGCAGCGACGCCGCGUGAAGGAAGAAGGUUUUCGGAUCGUAAACUUCUAUCCUUGGUGAAGAUAAUGACGGUAGCCAAGAAGGAAGCCCCGGCUAACUACGUGCCAGCAGCCGCGGUAAUACGUAGGGGGCAAGCGUUGUCCGGAAUGAUUGGGCGUAAAGGGCGCGUAGGCGGCCUGGUAAGUCUGGAGUGAAAGUCCUGCUUUUAAGGUGGGAAUUGCUUUGGAUACUGUCGGGCUUGAGUGCAGGAGCGGUAAGCGGAAUUCCCGGUGUAGCGGUGAAAUGCGUAGAGAUCGGGAGGAACACCAGUGGCGAAGGCGGCUUACUGGACUGUAACUGACGCUGAGGCGCGAAAGUGUGGGGAGCAAACAGGAUUAGAUACCCGAGUAGUCC